AACAGGUUUGGUCCUGGCCUUUCCAUUGAUUCUUAAUAAAAUUACACAUGCAAGCAUCCACGCCCCCGUGAGAAUGCCCCCAGUGUCUACAAGACACGAAGGAGCGGGCAUCAAGCACGCUAAUUAGAGCAGCUCACGACGCCUUGCUUAGCCACACCCCCACGGGAAACAGCAGUGAUAAAAAUUAAGCCAUGAACGAAAGUUCGACUAAGUUAUAUUAAACAGGGUUGGUAAAUUUCGUGCCAGCCACCGCGGUCAUACGAUUAACCCAAGUUAAUGGAAGUACGGCGUAAAGCGUGUUAGAGGAACACAAACAAAAUAAGAUUAAACUUUAAUUAAGCUGUAGAAAGCCAUAAUUAAAAUAAAAAUAAAUAACGAAAGUAAUCUUAUUACAUACCAAUACACGAUAGCUAAGACCCAAACUGGGAUUAGAUACCCCACUAUGCUUAGCCCUAAACAUAAAUAGUUAAUUAGACAAAACUAUUCGCCAGAGGACUACUAGCUAUAGCUUAAAACUCAAAGGACUUGGCGGUGCUUUAUAUCCCUCUAGAGGAGCCUGUUCUAUAAUCGAUAUACCCCGAUAGACCUCACCAACCCUUGCUAAUUCAGUCUAUAUACCGCCAUCUUCAGCAAACCCUAAAAGGGAACAAAAGUAAGCCUAAUCAUUACACAUAAAAACGUUAGGUCAAGGUGUAACCUAUGGGUUGGGAAGAAAUGGGCUACAUUUUCUACUUAAAAGAAAACACGAAAGUCCUCAUGAAACUGAUGACUAAAGGAGGAUUUAGUAGUAAGCUAAGAAUAGAGCGCUUAGCUGAAUCGGGCCAUGAAGCACGCACACACCGCCCGUCACCCUCCUCAAGCAUAUCCUAAACUUUUAAACUUAUUACAAGUACUAACAAUGCAAGAGGAGACAAGUCGUAACAAGGUAAGCAUACCGGAAGGUGUGCUUGGACAAAUC
RNAcentral lists this non-coding RNA (958 nucleotides) under Hyemoschus aquaticus (Water chevrotain). RNAcentral describes it as "12S ribosomal RNA". It matches the Rfam family "Bacterial small subunit ribosomal RNA". Lineage: Eukaryota; Metazoa; Chordata; Mammalia; Artiodactyla; Tragulidae. The record is from RNAcentral.